RNAcentral lists this long non-coding RNA (456 nucleotides) under Marmota monax (woodchuck). Lineage: Eukaryota; Metazoa; Chordata; Mammalia; Rodentia; Sciuridae. The record is from RNAcentral.
AUGUUCCUGGAACUCUUCUUCCUUUUCUCUCUCUCUCUCUCUCUCUCUCUCUCUCUCUCUCUCUCUCUCUCUCUCUCUUUCUCUCUCUCUCUCUUAAACAGGGGAGAGGUAUGGAUCUUAAUGAAAACUAAAUAACUGAUAUUUCUUUUUGUGAAAAUAUUGAAUUGUCACCGUGUAAAAUUAUUACUUAGCUUUGCAUGCUAUAGAUCCUCCCUUCUUUUUUAUCAAGUUGGAAUCCGUGCAUCUUUACAAUCCCACCCCUACAUAUACUUUGACUCCCUGAUCUAUCUCUUUUUUCCAUCAUAAUCACUUAAUUACAACUCCAAUCAUGCUCACCAUGCCUGUAAUCCCAGCAGCUUGGGAGGCAAAGAAAGGAGGAUCUCCAAUUCAAAGCCAGCCUCAGCAAUAGGGAGGCAUUAAACAACUCACUAAACAACAAGUGAGACCCUGUCUCUA